GUACUUAAUAACUUCUAUAGCACAAGCACUAAAAUUAGAACACUACAGAGACUAUCGUGGUCCCUGCGCAAGGGUAACACACAAAGUUGGGAAGCAUCCCAUAUAUUU
This is a small nuclear RNA of Arvicanthis niloticus (Nile rat), 108 nucleotides long. NCBI's taxonomy places the organism in Eukaryota, Metazoa, Chordata, Mammalia, Rodentia, Muridae. The record is from RefSeq and is a predicted model, not a curated record.